GCGGGCGCGCGGGGCGGCGGCCGGAGCCGCGCGCGCUGUACCGUGAGGGUAGUGGAGGGAACCUGAGGGGGAGCGACCGGGAGGUGACCUCAGGGAUGUCCCCAGGGGUGUCCCCGCGGGCCCUCCGCCGUCACGGCUCUGUGGAGCAGCCCCGACACCUCCUCUGUGUUUCGCCGGAAAAUAAGACUGCGGUGAGGCAGCGAGAGCACAGAGCUCCUGCAGGUUCGGCACAGGGGGAAGGGGCCUCCAUCCCGAGUGCGGAGCUGCGCUGUGGAGCCGGGUGCCUCUGGAAAGGCCGUGGGAGCAGGAGCAGCGGCAGAGGCCUCAUUUGAGCACCAGGAAGUAGGUGGUCCAGCCGGCCAGCAGCAGCGCCCCGAGCAGCACCGUGUAGCUGAACAGCACAAAGGCCAGCAGCUCCCGCAGCACCUUGAGGAAGUGGAUGGCGAAGGAGUCCGGCAUGGCUCUCCCGGCUCCCUGCAGCUGGCUGCUCCCUGCUCCUGCCAGGCCUGGAAGCAGAGGAACAAGGUGAGUCUUCACAGCAGGGACACCACCCUGCCAUGGGGAAAAGUCCUGUGACCACCUGGAAGGUUGUUAGUGACUGGUGUGGGCCUGUUCAGAGCCCGGCCGAAGUGUCGAAAGAGAAUUUGGGAUCUGAUCAAAGUCUCCAGAUCAGGACUGGUAAGGAAGCAGAUGGAAAUAAAGACCCAGGCAGGGGGCACGGCCAUGGGGGUGAGGCUGGGGGUGUUGCAGAGUCCAGCUGGCUUCGGGAAUCUCUCCCCUGGGGCUGUGCGUCCAGGAAGCGCCAGGAUCAGAGCGGCCGCUGAUGGUGCAUUACCAACAGCGUGUUCUGAUCAAAGUGGUCAAUUCCUCCAAGGAAGCCACCAUUAAUAUUUAAUUCUAUAAUUGCAUCUAAUGGAGGUACUGGCACAAACUGAGCCUUUUGUUUAAGAAUGACGAAAACUGAGGCUUAAAUACAAGUUUGCACAGGCAAAUAUUUAUAUCUUGCGUUAAAAAUAUCCGUUAAUGGGAGAUGUGGGAUAAGAUGCCUUAGAAUUCAUCUUCUAGCAGUAUUGUAUAGUCAUAUGUACGCAUUGCUUUGGAAGUGAUUGCUCCUUUGUUAGUUUAAAAUAAAUCUGAACUUUUCUUCUAAAGUCACUGGCUUCUUAGAUUUGAAGCUGUAAAAACCCACCUAAAAAUUUCUAUUAUCUCUUCAAUUUACUUGUUCUUUUAAAUUUUGAUCACAACUGUGCCUGAUCAACAGUAUUGACGCUCUUGGUCAAGCACGAAAAGGGAGUUUAAAAUCAGACUUAGGAUAGAAACUAACCCAGAAGGAUUAUUUCUCUUCUGAACAGCCUAAAGCCAGCCAAACUAAACUGAAUUCAUGUCCUGCUACCUGGAAUGUUUUUUUAAAGAGCUCUUGUGAUAAGGAAUUCACUUUUUGGUGUUGUUUAACGAGUUCAGCCAUUCCAUUCCAAGCUCAGGCACAUGUAUACAGUACAGGAGUUACAGCAUUUUAAAACCAGCUGUGAUUUCUCUGUUCAGAGCAUUACAGAUUUCUGUCCAUAGGCUGUGCGAGAUUUCUGGUUAUCUAGAAAGAUGCUGAUAAAGAAAUAAACUGCUUACCCAGGCAGAUGAUGGGCUCUGCUUCGGCAAGUUCGUGUUCCUCCCUAGUUUUGUUCUGCAGCUGUCCCUUUUGCAGGGGUUUGUGCCGUAGGCUGAUCCCGCUGUGAUCCAGGAGCAGAGUGUGUGUCUGUGUGUGCAGCCCACACCAGGACUGAGCUCUAGGUGUGGUCAGCACCGGUUAUGAUCCGACAGCGCCGUGGUGCUCGUGGUGCUUGGAGCAGCCAAACACUCCCCUUCCCCUGGGGGCUUUGGCAACAGCAUUUCCAGAGUUCCAGUGCCAGGGCUUGGAGUUACCAGACCAAAACCUGCAUUUGUUGAGAUUGUGGGGGUUUGCCUCUAACAAAACCUUGUGUCAUCUUACACGUUUUAUUCCGUUAUCUCGAAGGCUGCAGUGCUUCUUGCUCUGUUCCCUGAGCACCCUGUGCUCUGUGAGCCACUCGGGGAGGAAGAUGCUCACACACAGCUGGAGCUCAUCCCCAGGGUGGGACUGUGCAGGCUGAGCCAGGAUUUUUUACCAAAAGUCAGUGAGGACUGAAAGCAGCCUAAUCCCUGCACGGUCCCCUGCAGGGUCAUUGCUGUAGUGUCACCCUUACCCUCCCUCCCAAGGAGUCAUCCCAACCUUUUAGAGCUCAAAUGAUGCAGCUCCUUUGCAGUGAGGGGAGGAGAGAGCCAGGCUCUAUGUUUAUUCUUAGCAAAACUGCUUCUGAUAAUGUUGUAUGAAAAGUGAAAGUCUUUUGGGGUAGAGGUUGGGUAAUAUUUUCUUUUUUUAUUUUUUGUAGUAAUGUAGACAGCAGAGAAAGAAGAUUAUGUACUGCAAAUCAAAUCUCUUACCUACAAAGAUAUUAUGAUGUAGAAAAUGGUUGCUUAAUUUAAUUAGGUUCUCUUGUUAUCAAAUUAUUACCCACAUGGUCAGCAGGGCCUUGGACAGAAGCAGAACAUCAUCAGCUGCUCAGGAAGCCUGUUAAAUAGUAAUUGCUCCUCCAGGGAAUUGAUCAGCGUCAGGAUGACUUUUAUUUUGUUGUUGAAUAGUUCCAGGAAGAGGCUUUGUCUAGGUGGAGGGGUUACAUGGUGCUAGUGUAGGCUGCAAAAAACCAGGCUGCAAUGUUGGUGAUGAAUUCAGAGUUUACCAAGUGUCUGGAGUGAACUCUUAACCAAAAAAAGUUUUGCCUGUAGUGUUACUGAUUGCUGGUCAGGGGAAAGGUGAGCCACUCUGUGUUUUCCUUUAUUCACCUGUGGUGUAGCUCAGAAACCAGCCUGGCCAGUAUUUCCUUGGGAUUAGUUCAACUGUUAAAAUUGAAAAAAAAAAUCUGGAAAUUGUGAUACUACAGAGAUCGUUCAAGGCCAACCCAAGGACAUUCUUGCUCUGAGUCAAUUUCUUGUUUUUCUCUGCAUAGUAACAUCUAAUUUUUGAUCCAAGCCUAAUUCAGUUUUCCUUUUAAACACUCUGAAAUUAGCUACUUUAAAUGGAUCUUGCAGAACAAACAGUCCAUGUUUGCUCUUCUUGCAUCACUGAAGUUGUAGCAUGUUUUUGGUUAAGUCUGUCUACAGGUUGCCUUCCCACCUAAAAUAGAAAGUCUCCAGUGAAUGAAACUGUAUUUUUCUUCAAAAGUUCAGAAAUUCCACUUCUAAUGUAGUAUUACAGGUGGCAGAACAGAAUGAAAUUUUGCAUAAGCCUUAAUUAAAAACCACCUGGGUGUUAGAAAAAUAGUUUCAACUUAAGUAAUUCAGUUAUCCAUUUAUCCUGAGACAAGGAGAGGAUACACCUACCACAGUGCAAGGUUUUAUUUUAUCUUUGUUUUCUAGAGAGAGAGAAAGAGUGCUAACACUUCCAAAAAAAAAGAUUAAAUACAUCUUUAUUUUAUUUUAUUUAAUAAGUCAGCUAGAGUUAAACAGAGGAGCUCCAUGGAGGGUCUGACUUGGCAGACUUCAGUCUUAGAAAAUAAAACAGACCAAAACCUGGAGUCACAACUGUGACAACUUGGAAAAAUUGAGGGAUUUAUUGGGACAUGGUAACUAAGGCAGAAAUGUUUGCUAAGAGAGUGAUUUAAGGUGGGGAGUGGGCUUUUUUUUAGUUGUGUUUAAGAGUGAACUACAGUGGGGAAGAGUCCCCAGUGGCUGUGAGGACACAGACAGUGCCCAAC
Molecule: long non-coding RNA, 3764 nt
Organism: Serinus canaria (Common canary)
Lineage: Eukaryota; Metazoa; Chordata; Aves; Passeriformes; Fringillidae
Exons: 2
Source: RefSeq, a predicted model, not a curated record